AGAGCAGCAAACAUUGUCAGGAAAGGGAAAUUUACAGUUCCUGGUAGCUCUUUACUUCGUUGUUCUCUUCACAAUCUUGCUGCUUUUUUGGUGUUCUAUAGAGGCUGGUCCUCACCCUGCUCAUGUCUGAGUCAGGAAUACAAGGUCAGGUUGGCAGUCAGUGUUCAGCUCCUUAUAGUUUCUCUGCUAAAUGACCCAUUUUUAAAGAAACAUUACUAAACUUCCUUGAAUUAAUCCUGCUGCCAUUAACAUUACUACUGUGAGACUUCCCCUUUUCUUGACAAAGAAGAAGAAAGGCUGGAUGAUGCAAUUUCCUUUUGUCAGUGAUUGUACUUUCAUGAAGAGGUGGCUGUAGGCACUUACAGACCACUGCUGCAAAGACUUCAUGGGAUCCCAGGGGCUGCUCAGCAAGGGACAGUUACAAUUAGUGUAGUUUUCCUAAACUUUCCUACACAUAAGAUUCCUCAUCUAGAUUCUUAAAGGAGACCGUUUCUGUUAACAAUACCCUCCUUAGCCUGAGAUACUAAAAUCACAGUCUUGGCAUUCAGUUAAGCAGUUAAUUCUGAAAGCUGGCCAAGCUUCUUGUGCCCUUUAAUGUAGCUUUAACAUCCCACUGCCAUCUUUUUCUUUCUGCCCCUUUCUCCCCAUGUCCAAAUCACUGAAAAAUAUUAAAGCUAUUCCCUUUGACAGCACCCUUUCUUGCCCAGGAAGAAAUAACCUGACACAGAAAGGUGAGAAUCAGGCUUGUUUCCAGGCAGCCCUUAUUUGGCUCUGAAACCAUUUGCAAAGUGAGGCAUUUCAGUUGGUUUAGUAUUUAUAGCAAAUACUUUCCUCUUCUUUGGAAAUCAACUUUGAGAUUAACUGAAGUGGAAACAUGGUAGGAUUUUCAAAGGCAUUUAAGAGAGGCAGUUGACCAUUUACCCUCAAAAGUCACAGCAAUAAGAGUCCUUUGUAUUCAGCUGGAAAAGGUGGGAGAAUUUUCCAUGGGCUAUUGUGCCUUUCCUAUUUUAGGGUUGUGAAGCACCUUCAGAGCAUGUGGAGUACUCAGUCCCAGCAUCUGCAGGAAAAGAGCAACUGUAGUUCUCGGGCAAAAAAGAGAUGGGUUAGGAGCUUUGUUUACUCCAAGCCCUUCCAUGCCCAUGCACUUCAAAACUGGUGCCUGAAUGAUUUCCUGCCAAGUUCAGGAAAAUGAGUUAAGAAUGCUUCAAAAGUAAAUAAAAGCAAAACUUCUCAGGCAAAACUCUAGCUGAAGAUUGAGCUGAAAAGAACAAUGAUGAACUUGUGAAUACAGUCUUUAACGUUUAUAGUUUUGUGAAGGCACUUGCACCUUUGCUUCCCGUUAAUGUGAAAAACAAGUGAAUGACUGGAUGAACACAUUAGUUUGGGACUGGGAGCUGAGCCAAAAAAGAUACAAGUCCUCUGGCAUGGGAGCUGCGGUGAGCAGCUGUACUACCAUUAGGGACAAAUGUAUCAAGGAAGAAAACCAUAUAUGAGGUGAUGUGAUGUGUGUGAUUUGUGAUCAUGCACUUCCCGUACAACCAGCAGAGCAGAGCAAACGUUCGUUCCACAUGUUACACAGCACCUCCCUCUCCCUUUACUUCUCUCAUACCUAAUGGGGUGUACUGGGCAUCUCACAAAUGGAUGUGGUAUUCAGCCACAGUAAUAACACUCCUGGAUCAUUAGACUGGGGCUGAUAACACAGUUUAUGGCUAGAAGAAUAGGUUCUGUUGGUCAUAUUUCCUUUAAGAAUGUUUCCCUUAAACAUUAUGGUUUUUAUAAAAAUACUAAAAUAAAAUACAAUACAAUAAAAUAAAAU
Molecule: long non-coding RNA, 1816 nt
Organism: Pezoporus occidentalis (night parrot)
Lineage: Eukaryota; Metazoa; Chordata; Aves; Psittaciformes; Psittacidae
Exons: 2
Source: RefSeq, a predicted model, not a curated record